Molecule: long non-coding RNA, 4764 nt
Filed under: Sus scrofa (pig)
Lineage: Eukaryota; Metazoa; Chordata; Mammalia; Artiodactyla; Suidae
Description: lncRNA (ENSSSCG00040026732.1)
Source: RNAcentral
CUACGGAAGUAUCUUUCCAUUUCAUUCAGAGUUUAUCUGGAAUGCGUAUUGUAAUUUUUGUCACAUUCCUUGGAGAAACCCUCCUCGGAAUAUGGAAUUCUGUUUGCUAAUAUCGUAAGAUUUUUGCAUCAGAGUGUUGUAUGCAUGGAUGCCUAGGAUGGGUGGGGUCUCUUGUUUUCUUGGUAUGAGUUGAUGUAUGUCUCCUGGCGCGACGGCAUCCGUGAUUUUCACAUCGGCUCUGUCCGUGUUUCCGUACGAGAUGGACUUUUCUGCUCUUACGGCUGGAUCCUAAAGGUCUAUAGUGGGAGUUCCCAUUGCGGCUCUGUGGGUUAAGAACCUGACUUGUAUCCCUGAGGAUGCAGGUUCGAUCCCUGGCCUCCCUCCGUGGGUUAAGGAUCCAGCAUUGAUGCAAGGUUGCAGAUGUGGCUUGGAUCCAGUGUUGCUGUAGCUGUGGUGCAGGCUGGCAGCUGCAUCUCUGAUUCCGCCCCUAGCCUAGGAACUCCCAUAUGCCGUAGGUGCGGCCCUAACAUUUUUUUUUUUUUAAAGCUGCAGCAAUGCCGGAUCCUUAAGCCACUUAAGCCCAGGCUGGGGAUCGAACCAGCAUCCCAAUGCUCCAGAAAUGCUGCCCGUUCCUUUGCACCACAGCAGGAACCCCUAGUGCUCCCUGUCUUGAGUCCACACCACCUGCUGGUUGUCCCUUGCGAGCAUCAGUGCUCUACUCCAGCCCCGCGAACUGGGUGAAAAUCCCCACAUUCUAGGCGAGAGCAUCCGUGUCCUCCGAGUUAAGUUGCUGUGCAAAGCCACGUCGCUGCUGAGUGUCUUCACCUGGUCUACCCGCUUCUCUCCCUUCCUGGCAGGUGGCAGGUAGCUUCUCCCCCGCCUACCCUGUCUUUGUGACUUUCUUCAGGUCCUGCUGGGAUCGGCUCUGCUUUGCCUUAGUUGACUCCAUACCUGACCGGCCUCCUAAUUAGCUCUCCCCAAACCAGAAGUGCAUCCAGCAGGGAAGGUGGAAGAUGCUGGGUGCCGUGCAGGAUGCGCGGGGCAGGGGCCCACCUGCGGCAACGUGGUGAAACUCACAAUGUGAUUCUUUGGAGGUUGUUCAGUAUCCGGUGCUUCCUUUUUAGACCUGAGCCAGCUCCUGGGAGCCAGAGCUCCACCGUGCUCCCGAUCUCAGCCCAGUCGUGUCUACACAGCAGUUUUCAUGCCUUCCAGAGAUUGCAGCCACUUAGACAUUUUCAGGAGCUUAAAGGGCAGCGUUAAAUGGUGCUUGUUUGGAGGUGGCUUUAUGUCCGAAGCUAGUAUCAUUCCCAAUGGACAGCUUAUGUGUAUGCUCCUCUUCUGGGCUCUUUUGCAUCUCAGUCAAAGACUCCCAGGGCCCAGGCACCUCCUUCCUGAUCACCCAUUUGAGACUCCAGGGAGGACCGAGCCCCAGGGCCUCCACCUCCUAAACCUGCCCCAGAGCUGUCCACUCCUCUGCCUUCAUCCAGGCCACCGUCACCUUGUUCUGUAUUCCCCAACCAACUCCCUUCCCUCCUCCUGCUCCCCUCUCAUCACGCUCCACACAGCAGCUCCAGUUAUCAUUUAAAAACACAUGAUCACAUGACUUUUCUUGCUAGAAGCCCUUCCGUGGUUUUCCAGGGCUCUCAGUAGAAAAUGCCUAAACUUUGGGAGUUCCUGUUGUGGUUCAGCAGGUUAAGAACCUGACUAGUCUCCAUGAGAAUGCGGGUGCGAUCCCUGGCCUCGCUCGGUGGGUUAAGGAUCCAGUGUUGCCAUGAGCUGUGGUGCGUAGCUCGCAGACUUGACUUGGGUCUGGCAUGGCUCUGGCUGUGGCAUGGGCCAGCUGGAGCUCCCAUUCGAUGCCUAGGCUGGGGACCUCCAUGUGCCACAGGUGCGGCCCUAAAGAGCAAAAAAAGCAAAAAGGAAGACAAUGCGUACACUUGACUCUGGCUCCCAGGUCCCUAACCAGGGGCCCCAGGGGUCCCCUUAGGGCCCACUGGCCCAAUCACCUCCCACUGCACUGGAGCCAUCCAGGUCCUGCAUCCAGGUCCUCCUCCCCCAGCCGGGAGGCCCCCACCCCGCCCCGCUACCUUUGCAGGGUGGGCCAGGAGUCACGCCAUCUCAGUUUGUGCGUCUCCUCCUCCAGAGCCCUUCUCCAGACCAGCAGCCAGCCUGGUUCCUCUAGGUCAGCCUGUUUUAAUGCUCUGCAUUCCACACACGGCUGUUUAACACUUGCCUUGUUUGUCUUCGUGUGUCUCUUAUGGGGUAUAAGCCCCAGAAAGCAGGGGCAGUCUUUCUGAGCUCAGCUCCUAGAGCAGUGCCUGGCUCGGAGUGGGUCCUGAACAAAUAUUUUCUCAGUACAUGUCCGUCCUCUCUGAGUUGUGGGCCUUCUCUCUAGCACCUGUGCCAUCUCCUGGGGAACCAAAAAAAAAAAACAAAAAACAAAAAAAACAUGCAGGUCCUGGGGCACCACCUCUAGGGAUGCUGAUUGGGUAUGUUGGGGCAGGGCCUCGGCAUCUUCAUUUUUCAGUAUUCAUUCAUUCAUUCAUCAACAUUCUUUUUAUGGCCGUACCUGCAGCAUGUGGAAGUUCCUAGGCCAGAGGUUGAGUCAGAGCUGCAGCUGUGGCAUAUGCCACAGCCACAGCAACACUGGAUCCUUAACCCACUGAGCGAGGCCAGGGAUCAAACCCUCAGCCUCAUGGAUGCGAGUCGGGUUCGUUUCCUCCGAGCCACAAUGGGAACUUCCAGAACAUGCAUUUUAAGGUCUUUUUUUUUUUCUUUUUGUCUUUUUAGCGCUUCACCUGUGGCAUAUAGAGUUUCCCAGGCUAGGGGUCACAUCAGAACUGCAGCCUCCGGCCUACGCCACAGCCACAGCAAUGCCAGAUCCAAGCCAUGUCUGUGACCUACACCAUAGCUCACGGCAACACCAGAUCCUUAACCCACUGAGCGAGGCCAAGGAUCAAACCCAAGUCCUCAUGGAUACUAGUCGGGUUUGUUACUGCUGAGCCACGAUGGGCACUCCAGAAUUUGUAUUUUAAACCAAGGCAGGUGAGCUUCAGACUUUGAGGACUUUGCUAUAAUUCAGUAACUCUUACACAGCCAAUAUCCUAUUGGAUCCUAGCAUACUUCUGGGAAGGGAUUCUAAAUUUAUUUUACAAAGUUUAGAACAAUUUUUUUUUCCGGAACAGGUAACACAUUCCCAUGCAUCACAGAUAAAAAACAGCAUCAAAGGCUGUAUGUGGAGAAGUCUCCCCUUUUGCUCCCCCAGCCAACCCCCUCCCCAACCCUACUUAGGAAGCUACUUGUAUGAAUUGCUUGGAUAAAUUUCUGGGGCUUCUUGAUGCGAGCACACGCAAAUUCCAGCAUCUAUUUUUAUUUCUUCACUUUUCAAAUACAAAGUAGUCAGCCACAUGUGUCGAAUCUGGCUUCUUUCUUCACCCAGCAAUAUAUCCUGGGAGAUUUCUGCCAUCAGUAAAUACAUAGAGAGCUUUCUCACUUCGAAGCGACCUUGUACUCCACGUGGGGCAGGGGCCGUCUUUUAUUAACCAGCCCCAGAGAUAGAUCCUUAGCUUAUUUGCUUUUAUGGGGAAGCGGGCUGUUGCUGGUAGUGCCACAGGGUGGACUCUUGCUUCUGCAUCUCUCCUUUGCCCAUAUCAAUGAGCCGGUGUAUCUGCAGGUUGAAUCUUGGAAGCAAAUUCCUGGGCCCUUGGGUUCUAUGCCUUUUGUAAUUUUGAUGAAUGUCGUCGCAUGUCUCUGAUCGCUUUGCAUUUCUACCAGCAAUGAAAUGAAAGAGUCUCCAUUCUCCUGUUCUCUUUCUGGUGUGCUGCGAAAUUUGGGGAUAUUUAUGAACUUGCUAGGUAAGAGAUACGACCUCAAUAUAGUGUCGGCUUUUUUUUUUACGGCUUUAUUUAGACAUAAAUGAUGUGCCACAAGUGACGAGUUUUUACAGUGUACAAUUGGAAUAAUGGGUUUGACACAGGUGCGUUAGUGAAACCAUCACCAUUGUCAAGAUAGCAAACACCUGCUACUCCCAGAAGUUUCCGCAUAGCAUCUCCUUCAACGCUAAUCUUCUGUCACUGUAAGAUUGUGUGCGUGUUUCCAAACCUUUACAGACAUGGAAUGGUAGAAUAUGUACUCUUUUUUGCCCAUUUUUGGUUUGUUUUCACAUUCUGUAUCAUUGAGAGUCAUCCAUAUUGUGGUGUGUAUAUUAAUAGUCGCUUUUUCUUUUACUGCUGUGUAUUCCCUUUUAUGGGUCAGCCGCAAUUUGUUUACCCGUUCACCCAUCAGAGGACAGUUAGAUGGCUUCCAGUUGCAGACUAUUAAAAAUAAAGCUAUUGGAGGAGUUCCCAUCGUGGCGCAGUGGUUAGCGAAUCCGACUAGGAACCAUGAGGUUGCGGGUUCGAUCCCUGGCCUCGGUCAGUGGGUUGAGGAUCCGGCGUUGUCGUGAGCUGUGGGGUAGGUCGGUGGCUACAGCUCCGAUUUGACCCCUAGCCUGGGAACCUCCAUAUGCCACAGGAGCGGCUCAAGAAAAGGCAAAAAGAAAAAAAAAAAAAAAGGCUAUUGGAGUUCCUGUUGUGGUGCAGCAGAAGUAAAUCCAACGUGUAUCCAUGAGGAUUCGGGUUCCAUCCCUGGCCUCGCUCAGUGGGUUAAGGAUCCAGUGGUGUAGCUUGCAGUCGUGGCUCAGAUCCUGCAUUGCUGCAGCUGGGGUGUAGGCCAGCAGCUGCACUUCAGAUUCGACCCCUAGCCUGGGAAUUUCCAUAUGCUGCA